Molecule: ribosomal RNA, 466 nt
Filed under: uncultured bacterium
Lineage: Bacteria
Description: partial 16S ribosomal RNA
Rfam family: Bacterial small subunit ribosomal RNA
Source: RNAcentral
GAUGAACGCUGGCGGCGUGCUUAACACAUGCAAGUCGAACGAUGAAGCCCAGCUUGCUGGGUGGAUUAGUGGCGAACGGGUGAGUAACACGUGAGUAACCUGCCCUUAACUCUGGGAUAAGCCUGGGAAACUGGGUCUAAUACCGGAUAGGAGCGUCCACCGCAUGGUGGGUGUUGGAAAGAUUUAUCGGUUUUGGCUGGACUCGCGGCCUAUCAGCUUGUUGGUGAGGUAAUGGCUCACCAAGGCGACGACGGGUAGCCGGCCUGAGAGGGUGACCGGCCACACUGGGACUGAGACACGGCCCAGACUCCUACGGGAGGCAGCAGUGGGGAAUAUUGCACAAUGGGCGCAAGCCUGAUGCAGCGACGCCGCGUGAGGGAUGACGGCCUUCGGGUUGUAAACCUCUUUCAGUAGGGAAGAAGCGAAAGUGACGGUACCUGCAGAAGAAGCACCGGCUAACUACGUG